Molecule: long non-coding RNA, 12146 nt
Organism: Hylaeus volcanicus
Lineage: Eukaryota; Metazoa; Arthropoda; Insecta; Hymenoptera; Colletidae
Exons: 2
Source: RefSeq, a predicted model, not a curated record
AAAUGUAGUGUGACUAAACCAGUCACUAAACCAGUCACACUACAUUUUUCAUAUCAUCUGCUGCCCUCUGGAAUUUUGGUUUAACAAUUAGAACUGUAAAUGAGAUUACAAUUGUUUCAUUUUUAACGUCUGCUUUGCUUUCUUGCUCCUUGCUCUGUACUAUAAUAAGGACCUUUAUUCUUGAGUCUUCAAAUAUAGUAUGACUGGUGUAUUAUUCGUAUCAUCUAUUGCCUUCUCGAAAGGUAAAUUAGAUUACAAUUGUUUCUAUCUUCAAUUGUAACGUCCGCUUUGCUUUGUACCUGCUUUGCUCUGCAUUUAAUUCAAAGAGAAAACGGAACAAUUGUUACUACAAGCGACGUUUCAGUUACUUCUAUUCCCCAUCACUUUGCUACUUGGUGUAUCCUUUGGACUAUCAAUUUUUAAGCAAUCGAUUACCUCUUAUCCGUACCUGUCGAUCCCUAAUCCUAAUCGGCUCGCGUUGACGUCGAUAUCCAGCUUACGAGAUAAGCCAGCGAGCACUACUGGAUGACACUGAUCAAAAAUUGUAGGUCUCAGGCUAAACGUGACCGUGGAAGGUCAAUGGAAUAUUAAUGAAGAAAAAGAGUACAGUAGAACCAAUUUUCUUUGGAUUGGUAGGGAGAUGUCAACGCUUGGAUAAAAGAACAUUCAGUUAAAAUACAAUUGCAAUGAUGUCUAAAUAUACAUUAAAAUAUAUUAUUAACGAAAAGAAAAGAAUAAUAAAAAAAGGAGGUUAUUAUUAAUAAUUUACGCAACAUGGAAAGAUAUAUAUAUAUAUAUAUAACCGAGUGACUUAAUAAAAGUGUGGUAUUAAGGAAGGGAAAAGAAUAAUAAAAAGAGGAAGCUAUUCGUAAUAAUUUGAACAACGUGGAAAAAUAUUUUAUUUCAACUCACCAACUAAGUCGCAGCUAAGUAUGCAGGACAUCCUCUAGGAACAAAUCUUACACCAUCUGAAAAUGCAACAUGAUUUAUAGAAAUUUGCAAAUUAAAAUGACAAUGCAAUUACAAAUGAAAAGUAUGCAAAAAAGGAUGUCUGCAAGAUCGUCUGUAUAAUUUCAUUAUUCAGAAGAAAGUACAAUGAAGGAUAUUAAAACAGAAAGAAGAAAAUUAGUCCCUGAAGAUUUCUCUUGAAAAAUUUGUCAGAAUUCGAGAUCUUAUUUUUCAAAAAAUUAAAAUUCGAACAAUACUGAAUUAAACUUGUCUUCGAAUGGGUAUCGAAUGAAAUUGAUAUUGAAGCAAUGGAAAUUUAAACUCCCCACAAAAUGGAUAUCCAAUUUCUACAUUAAUUGCAACCCGAUUCCUUUAUGCAAUUUGCAAUAUGCAACGCGAUUUUCAUUUUUAUUGUAUUUUUCGAAUAAAUUAAAAUUCAAGCAAUGGAGAAUGAAGCUCAGUCUUGAAUGGGUAUCGAGUUAAAUAGAUAUUCGGGCGAUGGAAUGUAAAAUUCACCCUUGAUCCUUGACCCUUGAAUGUAAUUUUACUCUAAUUUUAUUUUUUGUUUUCCGCUCAAUUAAAAACGAAACAACAGUGGAUUAACCUCGUUGUUGAAUGAAUUCCCUAUUAAAUUGAAAUUCAGGCGAUAGAAAGUUGAACUCAUCCUUGAAUUGAUACCCAAUUCCGAACGCUAAUUGCACCGUGAUUCCUUUAUCGAGGAAUUUAUUUCCAUUCUUAUUUCAACGAAUAAAAAAAAAAAAAAAAGCAGAAAAAAAGAACGAGUUGAGUGAAAUUCGACUGGGAUUGUUUGUCGAUCGACUCUUACGCGAACAAGACUGCCUAUACAGCACAGGGUAUCGAGCUCUCGGAUCGUCCAUAAACCGAUCCCCGAAAUUGUUCUGGAUCGCUCGCGAUCAGAACCGACUACGUUAGGACCGUAUCAAACUAAAGAAAGAAAGAAAGAAAAAAAAAAUAACGCUAUAGUUCAAAACGAAUACAUAUCAUUAGUCGUUAACGAAGGGCGCGAUGUAAGUACAUAUUAUAGUCGUAAAGGGAGAAGCAAAAGGUGAAACAAAAACAACAAAAAAAAAAAACAAUUUUCGGGAAGGUAUAAAAAUGAACGACAACAUUAACAAUUAAUUUAUUACACCUUUACCGCAUCUUAUAUACAUAAUAUACAUACAAAUUGAUAUAUUGUAUAUACAAAAUAUAUGUAUUAUAUAUUAUAUAUAUUAUAUAACAUAUACACGUGCAUAUACAAAUCGGUGAAUAGGAGAUAAGGUUUUGCUAAAAGACGAAAAUCAACACGAUCGCGUGAAUCGUAUCGAAUUGGUGGGGGGGGGGGGGGACGAUGAAACGUUUAUCGAAGAAACAAAACGGAUCGCGAUCCACGCGAUCGUCGUACAAUGUACAGCGAAACGGGGUGAAAUGAAGGACGAUAUUCUAUCGACAAAGAUCCAGACAGUAUUUUAAAAUGACAUAGAUAGCUUAGUUGUCUACGUAUUAAUGUAUCUACCGCCCUAUACUGACACGCGUGCACGAGAGUAUCGUGUCCAGAAACAGCUGGAAUGUUUCGUGGGGGAAGAUCUCUCUGUUCCGAACUGCAUUUUAUCGUUCCUGGAUGGAAAACAAAUGCAGCCGAGUGUUAUAGCAGGGUUGGGCAAAAAUGCGAUCGAUUAAUCUGGCUUACCAGUCGUGAUCGAUCGUUAAUGAAUGAUUAGUAACCAGACUAGUAAGCAAACAUGAUCAAGGAUCAUAUAGGAUUGAUUAUUGAUGAUUACUAAUGAUUAUUGAUGUAUAUUGAUGUUUACUAAUGAUUGAUUAGCGACGAUUAAUAUUAUUCAUUACUAGUUGCUGAUUAAUAUUAGUUUAUGUUAAUAUGUAUACAUGAUUGCUGAUUAACACAUAUUAAUAUUCAUUAUUAUUGAUUGAUAUUUGGUAAUACUGAUAAAUAUUUGUGGAUAUUGAUGAGCAGUAAAUGAUAAACAUUGAUGAAUAGAAUUGCCUAUUAAUGAUUAAUGGUCAUAAAGGAUGAAUAUUAAUGCAUAUUCAUUUAUUAAUGAUAAAUGAUUAUAAACGAUGAUAGUUACGGAUUAUCAUAAAACGGAUAAUUAUUGAGCGUUAUUUGAAGAUUGAUUAUAUUUGUGAACAGUGAUAAGCAUUGGUACACAUUGAUUAAAAUCGACGAAAAUUUAUCAUUAUUGGUGAUUUAUUACUAUUAUCGAUGAAUAUCGAUGUAUAUUGGUUACUGUUUAUGAACAUCAAUUUAUUUAUGAACAUUUAUGAACAUUGAUGAACCACGAUGAACAAUAAUGAACUUGAAUAAACAUUGACCACGUUUGUGAACAUUGAUAAACAUUAACGAAUAGUGAUAAACAUCAAUAAAUAUUGAUAAAUAUUAAUGAAUAUUGGUGAACAUUAAUGAACAUAAAUUGCAAUCAAUUAUCGCAAAAGUAAUCAAAAAGUGAUGGCUGCCCAACUCUGGUAUAUGCAUAAGGACGAACAGAGAAUGCGUGCACGCGGUAACACACACGUACAUAGACACGAACACGCGAGCAAACAUACACACGUACACACACACCCAGACACGUACACGAGAAAUAUUGUAUCGUUGUCGAUGUCUACAAUUGUUAAAGCGGAGACGCGGGCGUCGACGACCGAAGAUAAAAGAAAAAUACCAAAAACCUCUCACCUCGCCCCCCCAUCUCCUACGUCACCGCUUUAACGUCUCGACGCCGCGCGUCUCCGCUCGUGUAAUUUCACGUUUCAAUGAUAUUUAUUAUUUUUUAUAAUAGCGUAUACGGUGUAUGUGUUUCCUGUCGUGAUUACCCACACUUCUCCUUACCUCGAUAGAUGUUUAAACGACGAAAAAAAAAAAAAUACUAAUAAAAGGGGAGGGAGAAAAGCACCGCGAGCAAAAACACGCGGAGAAACGAUACAAAUUGCGAGGUAAAAGAAACAAACGAAAUUCCUCUCGUCAAACGUGACGAGUUUCCGUUUCGCCCAGGGGCUUGCUGUUUCUUCCUCCUCCUCCCCCCCUCCCUUCAGGGGUCUUAUCAAUUUCCUAAAUAUUACGUUGUUACUUGGAACUCGUUAGAUCGCGGCGACUACACCGCGAAUCCGAUUGUUUAACUGCAUAUACGAGAUAUAGCCAAAGAACCAGGUCGUUGCCUCUAACCCUUCCACUGCUGAGAAAAAAAAAAUGAAAAGAACAAAACAAACGCUUCUUAACUCUUUCCCACCAGUCGCGGAAAUUCGUUUCGUCCCGUGGAAACGAGCUUUUUGCACGAAGCGAAACGGGCACGGCGCCGGAAACCAGAAUUUAAAAAAAAAAAUAUCCCAAAAGUCGAGCGAUCGUUUAGAUGAAAAAAAAAGCAGAUGAACAUGAACUGGUCGCUCGGACCGAAAAUGGUGUGCACAAAACGAUGAGAAUAAAAAGUACGUGGGAAAAAAAAAUGAAACAUUUUCUGUCCUCUAGGAAUGUAAACUUUCGUCGCUAAGGUGUUUGAACAUUUUCAGCGUUCUUAAAACGUAGUCUUAACGAAUUAUUUUUAAACGUGUGAUCAGCUUCGAAAUACUAGCGAGUCCAAAAGAAGGGUUAAGAAGAUCAUCGAACACAGCUCGAUUCGCUGUGAAACAACCAACGAAACCCAUAAAAAGUAAGCGCGUGUUUUUGAUAAUCGAUGUUAAUUAAACAGGAACAAAAAAAAAAAACAAAAAAGAACACGUCGAGAACACGAAUCGUGGCUACGAUGAAAAAUAAAUCGAUAGCAGUUCAAGGGUUAACGCGAAUGACGCGACGAACACCAGAAAUCCUCGUUUCUGAACAUUCGACUCGAACGUGUCGUUGCUUGUGUCGUCGAUACUCGUGUUGGCGCGAUUUACUAUGAAUUGUUGCGAUACUUGCGUGAAAGAUCGUUCUCGUGAUUAUUGUUUACCUUUGUGAUCGUAUUACUUUUUAUUGUACUUCCGACGAAACGAAACCAAUGAUUUAAUCUUUUCAUUAUGGCAAUACUAUUCGUAACAAAAUUUUUAAAAAUACACUAGGUGUAUCGACUUCGUGACUUGUGACUACAGACCAUUUUUAAGGAUCGUUAUUUAUGUAAUUUCUACAUAUAGCUACAAUCGCAAUUUCAUAAUAAAUUGUGAAAUGUAUUCAGCACAAGUUUCUUUCCAACAGUGAAAAGGUUCAAACAUUCGGGUAAAUAAAUUUUCCAAAUAAUUUCCACAUUUUCGAAUAGUAAUUGAUUGUUUCUCUUGGAAAAGAGUGUCAUUGGAUGAUAUUCUUAUCAGUCCAAAUCGUAGCUACUCGAGUAACCAAUAGUGCGGGCGAAUUGUUUGUAAAAACGUUUCAAGAAUUAUUUGUAAAGUAAUUGUCACGAAUGAAAGCUAUUUCGAAAUCAUUUUUCACUAUUGAUAUAUAGUCAUUAUUAGAGGUAAUUAACAUAAACGAAAGCAAUUUCGAAAUAAUUUUCCUAACUUAAUAUAACAAUUAUUCACUUAUUAUUCAAUACGUGUGCAAUUAUGUCCGCGCAAUGUCGAAAUCGUGAGAGACAUUAUUCCUGUAUAUGGUUUUUAUAGAGCGUGAUAAUGACGAAGUUACGUGUUCGCAAGAGAAUCGCAUAAUUUUUAGAUGCAAAUUAACGAAUGAAAAAGUGCAACUCAGAAAUUGUGCAAAUAAUUCGAUACGCGAUCAAUAACAGCGUACAUGGAUACAAGAAUGGAGUUUUACCUUGCUUACAGCGAAUCAGGCACUCUAUUCAACUAUGGAGAGAAAAUAACGAUUAUUGUUCCAGCAAAUGUCUUCUCUUAAUUUCUUUACUUGUUAUUAUGGCUACAUUAGGAUAUUAUGAAUAUAUUGGCAAAAUUUUCCCGAUGAAAAUAAGUCCAAACACGACUCCAAUCGGACUAUUUUUCAUUACACGUUACUCGAAUCAUUAAAAAUCAUUGAAUGACUAAAUUGCUAAAAAUGGACCAAUUGAAGUUACGUUCGGACUCAUUUUCAUCAGGGAGAUCUCACGAAUCCAUUGAUAACACUGUGAAAAAAGAAAUAAUGACAAGUACGCGCAUUUUUAUUUUCAUUAUUAACUAAACAAUCAGGGACUUUCACGAAGAACAAAUGAAAAAUGUAAAAAUUGGACUGCAUCUCAGGCUGAGAACGAUAGAAAUGACUCUGGUUCAAUAACUGAGGGAAAAAUUGGAUCAAUUACUGAGGUAACGCUGUACAAGGUAAUGAUUCUUAACCUCUAUGCCAUGGAUGUUUGAAAAUAAGUCCAAUGGCCUGUUGAAUUUUUAUUUUAGCACAGGUGUAAUGAUGUAUCGGAUUUUUAUUCUUUAAAGUUUUCGAAAUAAUUAGGCAAUGCAAUUGUUCAUUACUAAAAAUUGCGCCACGAGCUUAAAAAGGUUAAGAAACGCUGGCAUAAUGUUUAGUGACUAUUACGCGAUCAAUUUUCGAACGCGUUUUACCGUUCGUUUGUGUAAAUGCAAUUGACAGUUAGCAAUUAGAGCGAUUUACAGCGAUUUAGUUGCGUGUGCAUAAUCGCAAUUAUCGAAUGUAUCCGUCACAAGUGGCGCGGGCAUUGAUUACACAACGGAAAGACGAUGUCAAGCAACAAAAAGCAAUAAAUAAUCUUGCGUAAAACGAACCUGAAGACACUACUCGACUGAUAGUAAGUAAUUUAACGACGAGCGAAGAUGUUUUAAGGGUGUAUUAUUGCGUCUCCAUUGCGCCAUUUACAAAAUAUAGAUAAGACGAACCAGUGAUUUCUCGAAUAAGCAGGCAAGAGUGCAAUUUGAUUAUUAUUUGUCGAAUGAGAACGUGGACACCGAGAUACAAUCCUUGUAAAUGUUGCAAAAAUGUGAUCGUGAAAUAAACGAGUUCUUCGGAUCCUGAAAUUAUUGGUUUUUCAAUCCUCAAAACACGUCGACAUUAUUUAUUUCUACCUGUACAAAAGAUUAUUUUAAGGAUUCCUACGUAUUACACUUUUUAACUUUUUUUUUAAAAAAAAUCAAUUCCCAAAACUGUAAACCGUUUAUUUUGUAUAGCACAGUAAAUUGUUGUUUGUAAUCAUUUAUUAACAUCAACUGGUAGGAGAGAGUCAAAAUGUCCCACGCUCAAUGUUCUAUGUAAUAAUGUCAUGGUUAAUAUUUAGUAAAUAGAUUGUAAUUGCUUUAGUCAUUCCUACUAUUAUUUAUUUAUCGUGAUUACUCGGCAGUCGUAAUAAUUACAUAAAAAGACAAGCUUCUCUGUAUAUAAAUUUAAGAAUGAUAUUUGUCCAGUCAGAAACAAGUUAUUAUUUAUUUUUGUUUACAUUUGGGCUCUUUGUUUUGGAGUCAUCUUCAGAACUUAAAAAGCUACAAAUCAACUUAAUAAAUGAAUAUAUAUAAAACAGUGUAAGUAUCCCUUUCAAGUUAAUAAAAAGAAUUUUUAAUACUUGAGAAUAAUGGUGAUAUUUAUAUGUCGAUAAUGACAAUCUUCUCCAUUUAAUUGAAGCUUAAAAUGAUGAAGACAAUAAUAGACUGAUUAAACAUGUUCCUAAUCUACAUAUAUAAAAGUUUCGACUUUCAUCAAACGCGCAUAUAUUUAGUAAUUAUUAAUUACAUUAUUACUAAAAAAAAAAGUACAAAUUCAAUUUGAUAUAAUUAGAAAUGCAAUUAGAAACUUAUAUUCGUUAAGGUCGUGAACUAUGAUAAUUAUCAACUUCCUGUCUGUGGAACAAUUGAAAAAUUAAUAAAGAAACUUUUAAUCUGACGGUUCCAGUAAGUUGACCAGAGAACAUUUUCGUAAUUUAGCUUCUCUUUCCUCCUUGCCUGUCGUGAUACUAGUAAUUGAUAUAAUUAUAAAUAAUCGAGGUCGAAACGAUUCAAUAACUUGAGAAUAUUCUUCGGCGAACUAUUUCAUUAUUGUCUUCAUUAAUUUGUGCUAUCAAUCUACGUACGUUACAUUCAAUUUUGUUUAUUUAAUCAUGCGAUCCGCGGUGACACAACAAUCCAAUAUUAAUCCACAUACAAUGACACAUUUAGUUGAGUAAAGCGUACAUUUCAUCAAUUACCUCGUCGGGGCCAAAUUGACUCCACCAUACCGGUUGUGUAAUAGAUAUUCCCACUCUACCUGUUGGGCGUUAAUUAAUAUUGGUUUAUUCCGAGGAGGACGUUCAGUUGCCGUCAAUCACGCUUGUUUUGCCAUCGAUCGAGAUCAGUUGUCCAAGACAAACGUUUACUUCGCCGCCAAUUAACGCCAGUCGUCCAAGAAACGCGUUCACAUUGUUGACAAUUAAGGAAAGCCAAUGGAGGCGCGGUAGAAAGAAGAUCCGCGCUAAAUUCAACGCUUGCACGUUUCGCCGAAGGAAUUUUGAGGAAUUCUUUUUCGUCCCUCGUCCACGCGUGAGAAAAUAAUAUCGUUAUACGUGUACACCGUUGGCACGUCGGUCGUCAGAAACAGAUCCGAUCGAUUUUCGACGACCUGAUGCGAACGUGAUUCACUAAAAAUCGUAGUCUUACGCUUUGACUCGUUGGAAAAACGCAUUCGAGCGUCACGAGCUUCACUGUGCGUGUCUAUUAUGUAGUAGAACCUCGAUUAUUGCUACAAAAUUCGUGGAACUAUCGAAAUAAUCAAGAAACCCACAAUAUAUUGGCUACCGCGAUGGUUAGCGCCGAAAACACUAGCGUUGCAAACGGAGAAACCAUCGCAACCCAUGUGCGGCAUAUGCGCAAGGUAGAUGCGCACAAGAUACCACUCGUCUACUACUUACAACAGUCCUAUCUAAUGUUGCACUAAUUACUCUCUUGAUGUUUUUGUAUUAGGUUGUCUCAAAAGUUUCUUUCGCUUUAUUAAAAAGUAAUAGAUGCACAAUAUUUUAUGUUUUAUGUUACAAUACUGAAUUGUGCACGAUUCAUUUUGCUCCAUUACUGUUACAACAUGAAUAUAUAUGAAAUUUGAUUGUCUAUUUAUAUAAACACGACCACAUAAAAUAAUUGAGUACGACUCGCGAAAGAAACUUUCGGGACAGCCUAAUAUCAAACUUAAAUGGCAAUGAAUAACUAAACUGCUAAUAUUUAUGCAUUUAUGGCAAAUUUGGAUAUGUAAAAACCUAUAACAAUGUGCACAAAUGUAAAAAUAUAUAAAAUAUCAACAAUGAUAUACAUGUUGUACCAUUUAGAAGAUAAAAUAUGCUUUCAUUUAGCUUUCAAUUCAUUUUAAACACGAGAGAAACAAUUAAAUGAAACUUCAAAUUCCUAUUCUCGAUGAAUUAUAUAAUGAAAGGAGAGAUGAUUAGAGUAUUUGGACCUUACCUAUGUGGAAUAAAGCCGACAAAAAUGUACCGAUAUCAAAAAAUUUGAAUCAAAAAGUCUUAACAGGGAUAAGCAUAAACUUCUGUACACUGAGUACCUACUCUGCAUGGAAAAACAGUAAUUGUCCAAAGAUGCUGCAGAAAGCAAAACGCUCUCCCCACUACCAUCUGCUUAUAAGGACUGUAGACAAUAGACGAUGACUUCUGCACACCUACCUUGCGCACAUAUGACACAUGUUAUAUAAAAAAUGAAUUCUAAUGUUUUAUUACUUGUAUCACGAGCAAUAAUCCUUGCAAUGUGACAAUUGAAAAGAAGAUUUUACAGCAAGAAUACAAGUGAUAAUGUUAAAAUAAAUUUAUCCAAAUAUUUAAGUUAGUAUUUUAUUCUUUCUUAAAUAAAAAUAGAGAAAUUUAACGGCAAUAUUUGUUAAAAUUGUUCUAUCAUUGAACUUUUUAUUUAAAGUGGAAACUAUUUUUGCAUUAAUAAUGCAAAAUGUUUGAAAUAUACUAAAACGGAUGAAAAUGUAUCGCUCUAAGAAUUUUUUGAAUAAAUAGUGUAAAAUUUUAAGAGAACAGUGUCGACGUCAAUGUCACAGUAUUUAUUUAUUCUAUCCUAAAUUAAAUCAAUAUUUAUUCGUUUGAUUAUUUAUUUUUAGGUACCGCGAUAUAAUGAAUAUAAACAAUUUCAGAAUUCGUGAGCAAAUAAAUAUGCGUAUUAUAUUAUUAAUAGAUACAUACGAAAAUAAUAGGCGAUUUGUUGGGAAUUAAAGCACAGCGAAGCUCGGAGCGUCGAUUUAAAUUCCGAUUCGUUCGAUUUUUAGUGCGUCUUUACGUUGGUAACGUUAAUAAUAUUAUUAAUUAAUGGACGCAUAAUGACACGUUCCUUUGGUUAACGCGUAGGCGACAUUCCUAAUACCAAUUACAACAACGGAAUUCUAAAAGCAAUAACGUUUGUACUCGUUUAUGAUCGCUUAAAACGGAACAUCAUAUCGUAUUAAUUUACCGAAUUUGCGAAAGACCAGUAGGUUAUCGAUUCAACAGCUUCGAGUGCCCUUGUUCGAAUCGAUGUGUGUGGAUGUAUGCGAAUCAAUGAGAUCGGUCAUUGUUUACUGUAAUUAAUUGUAACGAUACAAAUGCGAUUACCCAAUUAACUGUUUGCGUUACGUAUUUAUUUUUUCCUUAAUUUCAUAUUUGAAUGAAUUAACUUUGUACGAUUGUAAACGUAACAUUAAAGCAGCCUUUAAAUAGAAAUAUUACUUAAAUUCUAUAUAUUUAAAAUGUUAUUUAAUGCGAAAUUUGUAAAACGAUAUUUGAAAAAUAUUUAAAUUGUCUGAAAUGAAAUUAUAUAUAGUAAUACCUCGAUAACUGCCGCAGGCUUCGAAAGAAAACGCGACAGUUAAGAAGGGAAAUAGGUGCUCCAGGAAUUGAGCGCCAUUUUAGCGAGCCGUUAUUGUACUAUUUAAUUUCUUUAUAUUAUACGUUAAAUUUCUGUUAUAUAUACAAUAAAAAAAAAAAAAGGCACGAAACAACGCCAUGAAUGAGAAAUAAACAAAUCUACUCGAAACCAGCAGAAAAGUGGAAGAACUAAACGAGCAGUAGCAUAAUUUCUACAAAACAAGAUUUUUGCAAAUAAAUUGUACUCGUGACUUCAGUUAUCAGUGGUUAACUUGUGCAUAGUAUAAUUUUAAAUGUAAACAGAAUGAGACAAUUUUUUUUUAAUACACAUGCAACACCAACAUUUCCUGUUAUUCGACUAAAAAGAAAAAACAAACAAGAAUAAAUUAAAAUACAGUCAGAGAAAUGGAAAAUUAAAGAAAUGAAUAAAUAAAUAAAAAUGUAGUAAAAAUUAAUGUAAAGUGAAAUUGCAAGAACAACAACGAAUACAUGUAACCUACAUAAUUAUCCAUAAUUAAGAUUAUUGCGUAUUAUAUUCAAGAAAGAAAUAAAAAUGAUACGCACUAUAUUUAAAAAGAAGUUCUCUCAAAAAAAUGAUAACUCGAGAAUUAAUUUUUUAAUGUAACUCUUUAGUAUCGAGAAACAGGAGAUAAUGACAAGAAACUUGGAUUAAGAGAUUCUAUUUACAUUCAACUGAAACGUUGCCUUGCCAAGAGAUAAUACUUAAAACUUAUUUCCUGGCAAUUAAUUCUUGGCAAAUUUUCAGACUUGGCACGAUCAUUGCACUGUUGCUUCGCAAAAACAAAUGCCACGCUGCUCGGUUUACCUUCCACAAAAUCAUGCUAAUCAGAAGAAAGAAAAGUCACUGAGUGGACCGAAAAUACACUCGAAUAACUCUCUAAUGUAAGAUCAGAAUUAUUCGAACUUUUAAUAUUUGUAUUGCAUAAUGGAUUAGUGUAUUUACUUGAAACGAAGUUGGAAAAAGCAUUUCCUCGCUAACUGAUUGAAUUUUUUUAAGAAUACCCUCAUAAAUGAAAUGUAACAAUGUCAGUGACGUGUUAUCAGUUUUAGGAAUAGUUCUGAUCCUAUUAUAGUGUCUUAUCGAUAACGAAGAUUUUUUGGUAGACUUUUUAAUAGCGAUUUACAACGUUGGUUUUGUCCAUUUUUUUUCAAACACUUGUGGAAACGCUUUGUAUGAAUUCGUAAAAAAUUGAACGACUCGUUCGCAAACUAUGUAAAAAUUGUCGAAGAAACGAGAACAAAGAUAUGCAUGUUCCCUUUCCCCCGCCCCGUAUGAAGCUCCGACGACAACUAGCAAAUGAUUCGAUUUAUUAGUUUUAAACCAUUUUGUACGUUUAUAUGCAGUUAAAUGACGUGUACAUAAUUAUGUAAAUCAGUGUUGUGAGAUUAAUCUGAUUGUAAUACCUACACACAAACCCUAUUAGCAGAAGGCAUGUGCUUCGAAUUAUUAUCCUUGAGAUUUCCUGAGACGAUUAAACGGUCCUUUCAAAA